AGAGCGAACGCUGGCGGCAGGCCUAACACAUGCAAGUCGAACGGACUCUUCGGAGUUAGUGGCGGACGGGUGAGUAGCACGUGGGAACGUGCCUUUAGGUUCGGAAUAGCUCCUGGAAACGGGUGGUAAUGCCGAAUGUGCCCUUCGGGGGAAAGAUUUAUCGCCUUUAGAGCGGCCCGCGUCUGAUUAGCUAGUUGGUGAGGUAAAGGCUCACCAAGGCUACGAUCAGUAGCUGGUCUGAGAGGAUGACCAGCCACAUUGGGACUGAGACACGGCCCAAACUCCUACGGGAGCAGCAGUGGGAAUCUUGCGCAAUGGGCGAAAGCCUGACGCAGCCAUGCCGCGUGAAUGAUGAAGGUCUAGAUUGUAAAAUUCUUACAGUAGGGACGAUAAUGACGGUACCUAACGAGAAGAAGACCCGGCUAACUUCGUGCCAGCAGCCGAC
RNAcentral lists this ribosomal RNA (445 nucleotides) under uncultured soil bacterium. RNAcentral describes it as "bacterial SSU rRNA". It matches the Rfam family "Bacterial small subunit ribosomal RNA", at positions 26 to 518 of the family's 1533-position model. The record is from RNAcentral.